RNAcentral lists this ribosomal RNA (414 nucleotides) under Salmonella enterica. Its description in RNAcentral is "bacterial SSU rRNA". It matches the Rfam family "Bacterial small subunit ribosomal RNA", at positions 1 to 413 of the family's 1533-position model. Lineage: Bacteria; Pseudomonadati; Pseudomonadota; Gammaproteobacteria; Enterobacterales; Enterobacteriaceae. The record is from RNAcentral.
AAAUUGAAGAGUUUGAUCAUGGCUCAGAUUGAACGCUGGCGGCAGGCCUAACACAUGCAAGUCGAACGGUAGCACAGAGAGCUUGCUCUCGGGUGACGAGUGGCGGACGGGUGAGUAAUGUCUGGGAAACUGCCUGAUGGAGGGGGAUAACUACUGGAAACGGUGGCUAAUACCGCAUAACGUCGCAAGACCAAAGAGGGGGACCUUCGGGCCUCUUGCCAUCAGAUGUGCCCAGAUGGGAUUAGCUAGUUGGUGAGGUAACGGCUCACCAAGGCGACGAUCCCUAGCUGGUCUGAGAGGAUGACCAGCCACACUGGAACUGAGACACGGUCCAGACUCCUACGGGAGGCAGCAGUGGGGAAUAUUGCACAAUGGGCGCAAGCCUGAUGCAGCCAUGCCGCGUGUAUGAAGAAG